GGAUAAUCUACCCUUAGGACUGGGAUAACCCUGGGAAACUGGGGAUAAUACUGGAUAGGCAAUUAUUCCUGUAAUGGUUUUUUGUUUAAAUGUUUUUUCGCCUAAGGAUGAGUCUGCGGCCGAUUAGGUAGUUGGUUAGGUAAUGGCUUACCAAGCCGUUGAUCGGUACGGGUUGUGAGAGCAAGAGCCCGGAGAUGGAACCUGAGACAAGGUUCCAGGCCCUACGGGGUGCAGCAGGCGCGAAACCUCCGCAAUGUGAGAA
RNAcentral lists this ribosomal RNA (262 nucleotides) under uncultured archaeon. Its description in RNAcentral is "partial 16S ribosomal RNA". It matches the Rfam family "Archaeal small subunit ribosomal RNA", at positions 102 to 363 of the family's 1478-position model. The record is from RNAcentral.